UUCCGAAAGAUUCCUCCAUUAGUUCAUUCCAAAACACCAGAAGGAAACAACGGUCGAUCUGGUGAUCCAAGACCUCAAGCAGCAGAGCCUCCCGAUCACUUAACAAUUACAAGGCGGAGAACCUGGAGCAGGGAUGAAGUCAUGGGAGAUAAUCUGCUGCUGUCAUCCGUCUUUCAGUUCUCUAAGAAGAUAAGACAAUCUAUAGAUAAGACAGCUGGAAAGAUCAGGUACAUGUACAUAUAGCUUUAACUUUAAUAUCACCUCACUUUGCUUUUUGCUUUUUCUCAAGGUUAAAAAUGUAUCAUCAGAAUGAAUAUGUUUACCUUUGGAAAAAUUUGUCCCAAAGUAAAUAUCUAUCCAGUACUACUUUAUAACUUUAAAUUUAUUAGUAAUUCAAAACAUAAAUAGACUUACAGAUUUUAUUCAACAGUACUUCAGAAAUCCAUGCUGCUAUUGCUUAUUUCUGAUUCCUAUAAUUAAAAUUUAAAAUGUAAUGAAACAGUAUUUGAACAUGGUUUGUGAAUUGUAAUAUUCCACACAAAUAUAAUUCUAUAUUGCUUAUAUAUUGAAAUAAUAUAUUUUAUCAGCAUUUGAUGAGUACCAAGAAGCCAUUAAAUU
Molecule: long non-coding RNA, 618 nt
Filed under: Homo sapiens (human)
Lineage: Eukaryota; Metazoa; Chordata; Mammalia; Primates; Hominidae
Description: non-protein coding lnc-AKT3-7:2
Source: RNAcentral